Molecule: ribosomal RNA, 468 nt
Filed under: uncultured bacterium
Lineage: Bacteria
Description: partial 16S ribosomal RNA
Rfam family: Bacterial small subunit ribosomal RNA
Source: RNAcentral
GACGAACGCUGGCGGCGUGCUUAACACAUGCAAGUCGAACGGAAAGGCCCUGCUUUUGUGGGGUGCUCGAGUGGCGAACGGGUGAGUAACACGUGAGUAACCUGCCCUUGACUUUGGGAUAACUUCAGGAAACUGGGGCUAAUACCGGAUAGGAGCUCCUGCUGCAUGGUGGGGGUUAGAAAGUUUCGGCGGUUGGGGAUGGACUCGCGGCUUAUCAGCUUGUUGGUGUGGUAGUGGCUUACCAAGGCUUUGACGGGUAGCCGGCCUGAGAGGGUGACCGGCCACAUUGGGACUGAGAUACGGCCCAGACUCCUACGGGAGGCAGCAGUGGGGAAUAUUGCACAAUGGGCGGAAGCCUGAUGCAGCAACGCCGCGUGCGGGAUGACGGCCUUCGGGUUGUAAACCGCUUUCGCCUGUGACGAAGCGUGAGUGACGGUAAUGGGUAAAGAAGCACCGGCUAACUACGUG